Molecule: ribosomal RNA, 497 nt
Filed under: uncultured bacterium
Lineage: Bacteria
Description: partial 16S ribosomal RNA
Rfam family: Bacterial small subunit ribosomal RNA
Source: RNAcentral
GAUGAACGCUGGCGGCGUGCCUAAUACAUGCAAGUCGAGCGAACAGAUGAGGAGCUUGCUCCUCUGACGUUAGCGGCGGACGGGUGAGUAACACGUGGAUAACCUACCUAUAAGACUGGGAUAACUUCGGGAAACCGGAUCUAAUACCGAAUAAUAUAUUGAACCGUAUGGUUCAAUAGUGAAAGACGGUUGUGCUGUCACUUAUAGAUGGAUCCGCGCCGCAUUAGCUAGUUGGUAAGGUAACGGCUUACCAAGGCAACGAUGCGUAGCCGACGUGAGAGGGUGAUCGGCCACACUGGAACUGAGACACGGUCCAGACUCCUACGGGAGGCAGCAGUAGGGAAUCUUCCGCAAUGGGCGAAAGCCUGACGGAGCAACGCCGAGUGAGUGAUGAAGGUCUUCGGAUCGUAAAACUCUGUUAUUAGGGAAGAACAAAUGUGUAAGUAACUAUGCACGUCUUGACGGUAACUAAUCAAAAAGCCACGGCUAACUACGUG